RNAcentral lists this ribosomal RNA (253 nucleotides) under uncultured bacterium. RNAcentral describes it as "partial 16S ribosomal RNA". It matches the Rfam family "Bacterial small subunit ribosomal RNA", at positions 524 to 776 of the family's 1533-position model. The record is from RNAcentral.
UACGAAGGGUGCUAGCGUUGUUCGGAAUCACUGGGCGUAAAGGGUUUGUAGGCGGUUUCUUAAGCAAGAUGUGAAAUCCCAGGGCUCAACCCUGGAACUGCAUUUUGAACUGAGAAGCUAGAGUUAGAUAGAGGAUGAUGGAAUUCCUAGUGUAGAGGUGAAAUUCAUAGAUAUUAGGAGGAACACCAGUGGCGAAGGCGAUCAUCUGGGUCUAUACUGACGCUGAGAAACGAAAGCGUGGGGAGCAAACAGG